This is a long non-coding RNA of Aegilops tauschii subsp. strangulata, 2120 nucleotides long. RefSeq lists it as uncharacterized. The record is from RefSeq and is a predicted model, not a curated record. NCBI's taxonomy places the organism in Eukaryota, Viridiplantae, Streptophyta, Magnoliopsida, Poales, Poaceae.
UGAUGGCAAAGCCUUCCUUUGCCGUCCGCUGGCUGACGGCAAAUCUGCUGAUUCCAGUAGUGUAUAUAUAUGCAAAAUCAUGUGAAUGUAUGUAUCUCAUAAGUAAAUCCAAUCAAGAUUUAUUGAAUUUUCGGAUGGUUUCCAUGUGGAAGUUACAACAAUUUACAAGUCUCAGGAACAGCUUGUCAUGUUUAAACUAAAUGUUAGCUAUUUUUAUCCUCUUCUGUGGCAAUACUAUCUGGUAAAAAAAAAGUACAAGAUACAAGAUAUUUUCCUAUCUUAUUCUCUUCUUUCUGUGUGAAAUACUAAUUUCGUAUUAUUAUUUGCAGGCUCAGAAGCAUUAAUGUGGCAAUGUGACCCUAAUAGUGAUUGUUGUGAGUAGAGAAGGUCCUUUUAGAUUUAAUUAUGCACUAGGGAAAAUAGAAACAACUUAGAAAUCUUUGUUUAGUACCAUACCAUAAACCUCACUGAUAUUGAAUUAGUAAGGUGCACUAGCUACUGGCUACAUUACUUGAUCUAUCUAAUAUACAACCUAUACUUUGUGUUCCACUUCAUUUCCCCAUCUUUUGACCACACAGUUCGGUAGAAAUUCCUUUUGGGUGUUUCCUGCCAAACUGACAAAAUAAAAUUCAAGCUUAGGAUUGUACUUACACAUGUAGCAACAUUUGUAAAUUCAAAAAACGGAAGCAAAAUCCACCUGCUGAUUCGGGGAACAAAAUGCACCUACUGACAUGUAAUUAAUUUUUGUGGUAACUUGCAGUUCAGGAGGGCCACCGCUCCCAACGAGGGUCACCGCAAGGUAAAGUCGUGUCCCUGUUCCAUCAAGUUCAGCCCAGUCCAUAUUCUUCAAACCAAUUUGGCAUGGUUCAUUGGUCGCAUGGUGUUCUUGUAAUCUGAUAAUUGGGUGUCAUGCGCUAAUUACUAUUGUCAAGUAUAAGAUUUUUCUGUUACGGUAGCCCGCUUUCGCUUCCAUGACACGUUUUAGUCAUGUAUGAUGUAUCCACUGUUGCAACGCACGGGAAAUCUUAGGUUGUGUUUUUUUUUUGAAAUUUAUUCUUCAGCUAGGAUCUCGCAGAUACGGGUUCUGGUCGUCCAAGUACAAGUGCAUGCGUGAUUACUUAGUACAUGUUGAGGAUUGAUAUUUUAUCUGAGUAUGACCAUUUCUGGGAAUGUGUCUUCACCUACCGGCUCACUUCCUCCAAUCUCACUUCCGAGGUUAAUUUUCGACUCGCUGACCAGGGCAUUUUCUAGGCAUUUCUAUGUACUCCUAAUUGCUUAGUUAAGUCAUUGUUUGGUCUCCUAAUUUCUUUGUAUAUGUAUCUGAAGGAGUUCCUGGAAUCCUGUUAGGCGAUCCUUCAAGGUUGCGUCAGAUAAUUACAAACUUUUCGGGGGAAGUCCAUUAAGUUCAAAGAAAGGGGACAUAUUUUUUCCAUGUUCACCUGGUAGACCACUUAAAUCUAGCAACCGGAGCGACAGUUUAAUCAUCUCGGAAUUGCAUAAAUGGACAUAAAGGUGAGAAAAGUGUUGUAUCAUCAAGUGUGUCUCAAUAGACUAAGUGGUUUUGAGGCUGAUGAGAAUAUAAAUACAUGGGGAAAUUUUAAGCUCUUGCUUUCUUACGAGAGAAAUGAUAUUCCGUAUGGAAGUGAUUUUGAGAAAUGCAGGGCCAUGCAGUCCUGCAGUGGUGGGUGGAGCCUCGGAUGCGGAGGAGUGCAAGGGCAACACUGUCCUCGAAGAAGAACCGGAGGGUGGCGGAGUAGCAGCACUACACAUCGUCCUCUGCCGAACCGGCCUCCAUGAUGUCGCUGCUGCAGCCCCAGCAUCAUGGUACACACGCUACUCGAUCUCGCUAAUCCGUCUCCAUCUUGAUUGGGAUUGCGCUGAUUUGGGGGUGCGUGCCGAGAGGGAUCCUUACCGUGCGUUUGUGUAGAUUAAUUUCUUUCAUAGCUCCUUGCCUCUCGUUUGUGGUAUUGGCGGUUGUAGGGCCCUCGUCUUGGUGAAAGAAAAGGAGCUUGCUUUGUUGAUUUUGUGCACGAUGUACAUUCUGUCAUGUAUUAGUUGAUAAGUUACUUCUCUUUGUAGAGUAACGAUUAAUGAUUGAAUCUAUGCGUCACCUUCCUUGA